This 684-nucleotide ribosomal RNA is filed under the name Triticum aestivum (bread wheat). RNAcentral's name for it is "partial small subunit ribosomal RNA". The record is from RNAcentral. Lineage: Eukaryota; Viridiplantae; Streptophyta; Magnoliopsida; Poales; Poaceae.
AUGCCACGAGGAGACUUGCAUAAACUACUAUACUCAACUCAAGACCGUGAAUGCUCUUCAUAUUUGAACCUCAUUAUGAUGGCUCAAAGGAUAAGGAUUGUGGUGGACGUGGCGGAUGCACUGGAGUAUCUACACCAUAAUAACCAAGAAACAAUGAUUCACUGUGAUCUGAAGCCUAGCAACAUUCUUUUGGAUGACAAUAUGACAGCUCAUGUUGGAGACUUUGGCCUGGCAAGAUUCAAAGUUGGUUCCACAAUGUCAUCUCUUGGUAACUCCAACUCUUCUUCUGUUGCAGUAAUGGGGACGAUUGGAUACGCCGCUCCAGAAUAUGCUGGGGGCGGUCAAGUUUCAACUGCCGCGGAUGUUUACAGCUUUGGUGUUGUUCUCCUCGAGAUAUUUGUUCGAAGAAGGCCAACGGAUGACAUGUUUAAGGAUGGACUCAACAUUGUGAACUUUAUAGAGGCCAGCUUCCCCGGUAGGGUAUUGGAGACUGUCGACCCCCAACUGCUACAGGAGUUGGAGGAAACUCCAAUGGCCUUGAAGGAAAAAUGUUUAGAAUGUCUUUUGUCUAUGCUAAAGGUUGGCCUUUCUUGCACCAAGCCAUCUCCCGGUGAUCGUAUCAACAUGCAGGAGGUGGCUGCCAAGCUACAUGGAAUCAAUGAUGCUUACCUCAAUGGUAACUGA